GAGCUCGCUGUGGCAGCACGUGUACUGAAAUUGGAGCGAUACAGAGAAGAUUAGCGUGGCCCCUGUGCAAGGACGACACAGAAAUUCGUGAAGUGUUCCACAUUUAA
Nannospalax galili (Upper Galilee mountains blind mole rat) is the source of this 107-nucleotide small nuclear RNA. The record is from Ensembl. NCBI's taxonomy places the organism in Eukaryota, Metazoa, Chordata, Mammalia, Rodentia, Spalacidae.